This 425-nucleotide ribosomal RNA is filed under the name uncultured bacterium. RNAcentral's name for it is "bacterial SSU rRNA". It matches the Rfam family "Bacterial small subunit ribosomal RNA", at positions 354 to 796 of the family's 1533-position model. The record is from RNAcentral.
GUGGGGAAUAUUGGACAAUGGGCGCAAGCCUGAUCCAGCCAUGCCGCGUGAGUGAUGAAGGCCUUAGGGUUGUAAAGCUCUUUCAGUGGGGACGAUAAUGACGGUACCCACAGAAGAAGCCCCGGCUAACUUCGUGCCAGCAGCCGCGGAAAUACGAAGGGGGCUAGCGUUGUUCGGAUUUACUGGGCGUAAAGCGCACGUAGGCGGAUCGUUAAGUCGGGGGUGAAAUCCCGGAGCUCAACUCCGGAACUGCCUUUGAUACUGGGUACCUAGAGUAUGGAAGAGGUAAGUGGAAUUCCGAGUGUAGAGGUGAAAUUCGUAGAUAUUCGGAGGAACACCAGUGGCGAAGGCGGCUUACUGGUCCAUUACUGACGCUGAGGUGCGAAAGCGUGGGGAGCAAACAGGAUUAGAUACCCGAGUAGUCC